AUGUUGGUGACCUUCAGAUGGGGUUUCUGUGUGAAUGUCCUUUUUGUUGAUGUUGAAGCUAUUUCUGUUUGUUUUCCUUUUAACAGUCAGGCCACUCUGCUGCAGGUCUGCUGCAGUUUGCUGGAGGUCCACUGCAGAUCCUGUUUGCCUGAGUAUCAUCAGCAGAGUGUGCAGAACAGCAAAGAUUGCUGCCUGUUCCUUCUCUGUAAGCUUUGCCCCAGAGGGGCACCCGCCAGAUGCCAGCUGGAGCUCUCCUUUAUGAGGUGUCUUAUUGACCCCUGCUGGGAGGUAUCUCUCAGUCAGGAGACACAGGGAUCAGGGACCCACUUCAGGAGGCAGUCUGCUCUUAGCAGAGCCCAAGCACUGUGCUGGGAGAUCUGCUGCUCUCUUCAGAGUCAGCAGGCAGGAUGGUUUAAGUCUGCUAAAGUUGUGCCCACAGCUGCCCUUUGCCCCAGGUUGUGAAGACCAGGAGAAAACCAUAGUGUCUGGGCCAGAAUGCACCACUCCUCAUGGCACAGUUCCACAGCCAUUCCUCAUGGAUUCCCUUGGCCGGGGAGAGAGUUCCCUGACCCCUUGCACUUCCCAGGUAAGGUGAUGCCCCAUCCUGCUUCAGCUCACCCUCUGAGGGCUGUACCCAUUGUCUAACCAGUCCCAAUAAGAUGAGCCAGGUUGGAAAUGCCGAAAUCACCCACCUUCUGCAUCAAUCUCGCUAGUAGCUAUAGACCAGAGCUGUUCCUAUUCCGCCAUCUUGCAGAAUUAUUAUUAUUUUUGUAUUUGUAUUUGUAUUCUGUAUUAUUAUUUUUGAGACAGGUUCUUGCUCUGUCACCCAGGCUGGAGUACAGUGGCACCACCAUGGCUCACUGCAGACUACCUCCUGGGCUCAAGCAAUCCUCCCACCUCAGCCUCCUGAGUAUGUGGGACCACUGGCAUGUAGCACCAUGCCCUGCUAAUUUUUUCUAUUAAAUUUUUUUUUGUAGAGACAAGGUUUUGCCAUGUUGCCCAGGCUGGUCUUGAACUCCUGAGCAAGCAAUCCACCCACUACACCCUCCCAAAAUGCUGGGAUUACAGGAGUGACCCACUGUACCUGGUCAAUUUUUUUAAUAUUUAAAGAAGGUUCAAAAUUUGUGUAAGUGUCCACCUCACAUCACAAUACUAGUUCUGUCCUUGGCUGUGUCUUAGCUCGAGAAAUAUAAGUGCCUUUCAAGGAGAUCUUGGCAAUGGGGAAACUGGAGGAAUACAUACCCUGAUCUUUUUCAUCUGCCACCUUCUGACCUUCAAACCCAAAGAGAAGCCAGAGAUUAAGGGGGCCCAUAUAUUUCAGUCCAUAGAGUUCAGUCCCUCUGGACAUAAGCAGGGUGGUGAUGGGACAAGCAGAACAUAUGCAGCAUUGUGGAGAACCUCAGUGGUUGCCAUGAGGACCACAAUGGUUGCCAUGAGAACUGCAGUGGUUGCCAUAAUGGGUCUUCCACUAGAAUAACAUCCAGGGACACCCUAGCUGUGCCCAUCCCCACUCAUUCUUCUCCACUGGAAAUGGAAUGACAUGCAAUUACUGCCUCUGGGAGAAGGAAGUGAGCAUGGAAAGGUCAGCUGCUUCUAAACUCUCUUCUAUUGGUGCCAGCCUGCCUGCCUACCUGCAGAUAGGGCUUGUGUGUGCUCAGGCCAUAUGGCUUAUAGUUCUCCAGCUGUGCCAGCAAAUGGGAUUUUGUCUGCCAAUCUGGGGCCAAAAAAGAAGAAAGCCCACUUGAGAACCUGGUUUAGAUGGACUGAAAUAGGGUUCCUUCCAGCUCUACUUGGUGGUAGCAAUAAUGAUAGUAAUAACAAACACCAUUAUUUUUAUGAUCUAAUCUUGCCCCUACAUUCUACAGGUUAAAAAUUUAUUUUGCUUUUAAAAUUGCUUCAUUUAAAUAUUUAUUAUUGCUAUCUUU
This is a long non-coding RNA of Callithrix jacchus (white-tufted-ear marmoset), 1925 nucleotides long. The record is from Ensembl. NCBI's taxonomy places the organism in Eukaryota, Metazoa, Chordata, Mammalia, Primates, Cebidae.